GUGUCAGCCGCCGCGGUAAGACGAAGGUGGCGAGCGUUGUUCGGAAUCACUGGGCAUAAAGCGCACGUAGGCGGUGCCGUAAGUCGGAUGUGAAAUCCCUCGGCCUAACCGAGGAACUGCGUCCGAUACUGCGGUGCUUGAGGAUCAGAGGGGUGCAUGGAAUUUCCGGUGGAGCGGUGAAAUGCGUUGAUAUCGGAAGGAACUCCGGCGGCGAAAGCGAUGCACUGGCUGAUUUCUGACGCUGAGGUGCGAAAGCCAGGGGAGCAAACGGGAUUAGAUACCCCGGUAGUCC
RNAcentral lists this ribosomal RNA (292 nucleotides) under uncultured bacterium. RNAcentral's name for it is "partial 16S ribosomal RNA". It matches the Rfam family "Bacterial small subunit ribosomal RNA", at positions 505 to 796 of the family's 1533-position model. The record is from RNAcentral.